AGGGUUUGAUCCUGGCUCAGAUUGAACGCUGGCGGCAGGCCUAACACAUGCAAGUCGAGCGGUAGAGAGGAGCUUGCUCCUCUUGAGAGCGGCGGACGGGUGAGUAAUGCCUAGGAAUCUGCCUGGUAGUGGGGGAUAACGUUCGGAAACGGACGCUAAUACCGCAUACGUCCUACGGGAGAAAGCAGGGGACCUUCGGGCCUUGCGCUAUCAGAUGAGCCUAGGUCGGAUUAGCUAGUUGGUGAGGUAAUGGCUCACCAAGGCGACGAUCCGUAACUGGUCUGAGAGGAUGAUCAGUCACACUGGAACUGAGACACGGUCCAGACUCCUACGGGAGGCAGCAGUGGGGAAUAUUGGACAAUGGGCGAAAGCCUGAUCCAGCCAUGCCGCGUGUGUGAAGAAGGUCUUCGGAUUGUAAAGCACUUUAAGUUGGGAGGAAGGGCAGUAAAUUAAUACUUUGCUGUUUUGACGUUACCGACAGAAUAAGCACCGGCUAACUCUGUGCCAGCAGCCGCGGUAAUACAGAGGGUGCAAGCGUUAAUCGGAAUUACUGGGCGUAAAGCGCGCGUAGGUGGUUUGUUAAGUUGGAUGUGAAAUCCCCGGGCUCAACCUGGGAACUGCAUUCAAAACUGACUGACUAGAGUAUGGUAGAGGGUGGUGGAAUUUCCUGUGUAGCGGUGAAAUGCGUAGAUAUAGGAAGGAACACCAGUGGCGAAGGCGACCACCUGGACUAAUACUGACACUGAGGUGCGAAAGCGUGGGGAGCAAACAGGAUUAGAUACCCUGGUAGUCCACGCCGUAAACGAUGUCAACUAGCCGUUGGAAGCCUUGAGCUUUUAGUGGCGCAGCUAACGCAUUAAGUUGACCGCCUGGGGAGUACGGCCGCAAGG
Molecule: ribosomal RNA, 890 nt
Filed under: uncultured Gammaproteobacteria bacterium
Lineage: Bacteria; Pseudomonadati; Pseudomonadota; Gammaproteobacteria
Description: bacterial SSU rRNA
Rfam family: Bacterial small subunit ribosomal RNA
Source: RNAcentral